UAUGCCCAAGAUAAACACAUAUGGAGCAGACCUGAUCCCAACCCACAGCCUGCAGCCAUGCCCAGCAGAGCCCAGCCUGGAUCCGCCAAGUCGUGCUUGACCUAUGGACCUGAAUGUGGAGCGAUAUGGGGAGGCCUGGAGAGGGAGAUGAAAGCCGAUCAAAGCCACCCCUUCUGCUGUCAGCUAGAAGGAAAUUGACAAAUCUUUUACUCCAUCAGAAAAUUCAGCUUAAAAAAAUCAUUUAAAGAGAUCCAGAACCCAACCACUUCUCAUGACUUCCACCCCCACGUCCUAGUCCAAGCCAUUGUCCCCAUGGCCAUGUCCUCCAAACUGGUCUUCCUGCUUCCACAUUUACUUUUUGCCAUACAGAAGUCAAAGUUAUCUUCUUAAAAAACAUUGGUUUGGUAUUUUUACAAUCUGGCUUAAAAUGCUCCCAUGAGUUCCGUAAGUACUUAGAACAAAACCCAUUCUGGUUCCUGCUGUCUACCAAGCACCACAUGGCCUAGAAGUCACCACCUCCCUGGCCUCCUCACCUGUUUCCCUCUUCCAUGCUCUGCUGCCCAGCCAUGUUGGUUGCUUGAGGCUCCUUGAACAAAUCAAGCCCAUUAGUAUUUUAUGGCCUUUGCCUCUGCUGUUUCCUCUGCCUGGAAUGCUGGCUCCACAUGCAUCCAC
This 672-nucleotide long non-coding RNA is filed under the name Homo sapiens (human). RNAcentral describes it as "novel transcript". The record is from RNAcentral. Lineage: Eukaryota; Metazoa; Chordata; Mammalia; Primates; Hominidae.